CCUACGGGUGGCAGCAGUGGGGAAUAUUGCACAAUGGGGGAAACCCUGACCUAGCGACGCCGCGUGAGUGAAGAAGGACUUCGGUAUGUAAAGCUCUUUCAGCAGGGAAGAAAAUGACGGUACCUGAUUAAGAAGCCCCGGCGAACUACGUGCCAGCAGCCGCGGUAAUACGUAGGGGGCAAGCGUUAUCCGGAUUUACUGGGUGUAAAGGGAGCGUAGUCGGCAGCACAAGUCUGGAGUGAAAUGCCGGGGCUUAACCCCGGAACUGCUGUGGAAACUGUGCAGCUAGAGUGCAGGAGAGGCAAGUGGAAUUCCUAGUGUAGCGGUGAAAUGCGUAGAUAUUAGGAAGAACACCAGUGGCGAAGGCGGCUUACUGGACUGUAACUGACGUUGAGGCUCGAAAGCGUGGGGAGCAAACAGGAUUAGAUACCCGUGUAGUC
RNAcentral lists this ribosomal RNA (440 nucleotides) under uncultured bacterium. RNAcentral's name for it is "partial 16S ribosomal RNA". It matches the Rfam family "Bacterial small subunit ribosomal RNA", at positions 338 to 795 of the family's 1533-position model. The record is from RNAcentral.